CGUGUAGGCGGGUAAUCAAGUCAGGUGUGAAAUCCCUGGGCUCAACCCCAGGAACUGCACUUGAAACUGGUUGCCUUGAGUGUUGGAGAGGGAAGCGGAAUUCCUGGUGUAGAGGUGAAAUUCGUAGAUAUCAGGAGGAACACCGGUGGCGAAGGCGGCUUCCUGGACAAUUACUGACGCUGAGACGCGAAAGCGUGGGGAGCAAACA
This 208-nucleotide ribosomal RNA is filed under the name uncultured bacterium. Its description in RNAcentral is "partial 16S ribosomal RNA". It matches the Rfam family "Bacterial small subunit ribosomal RNA", at positions 568 to 774 of the family's 1533-position model. The record is from RNAcentral.